GAUGAACGCUGGCGGCGUGCCUAAUACAUGCAAGUCGAACGCUUUGUGGUUCAACUGAUUUGAAGAGCUUGCUCAGAUAUGACGAUGGACAUUGCAAAGAGUGGCGAACGGGUGAGUAACACGUGGGAAACCUACCUCUUAGCAGGGGAUAACAUUUGGAAACAGAUGCUAAUACCGUAUAUCAAUGACAACCGCAUGGUUGUUAUUUAAAAGAUGGUUCUGCUAUCACUAAGAGAUGGUCCCGCGGUGCAUUAGCUAGUUGGUAAGGUAAUGGCUUACCAAGGCGAUGAUGCAUAGCCGAGUUGAGAGACUGAUCGGCCACAAUGGGACUGAGACACGGCCCAUACUCCUACGGGAGGCAGCAGUAGGGAAUCUUCCACAAUGGGCGAAAGCCUGAUGGAGCAACGCCGCGUGUGUGAUGAAGGGUUUCGGCUCGUAAAACACUGUUGUAAGAGAAGAAUGACAUUGAGAGUAACUGUUCAAUGUGUGACGGUAUCUUACCAGAAAGGAACGGCUAAAUACGUGCCAGCAGCCGCGGUAAUACGUAUGUUCCAAGCGUUAUCCGGAUUUAUUGGGCGUAAAGCGAGCGCAGACGGUUAUUUAAGUCUGAAGUGAAAGCCCUCAGCUCAACUGAGGAAUUGCUUUGGAAACUGGAUGACUUGAGUGCAGUAGAGGAAAGUGGAACUCCAUGUGUAGCGGUGAAAUGCGUAGAUAUAUGGAAGAACACCAGUGGCGAAGGCGGCUUUCUGGACUGUAACUGACGUUGAGGCUCGAAAGUGUGGGUAGCAAACAGGAUUAGAUACCCUGGUAGUCCACACCGUAAACGAUGAGUGCUAGGUGUUUGAGGGUUUCCGCCCUUAAGUGCCGCAGCUAACGCAUUAAGCACUCCGCCUGGGGAGUACGACCGCAAGGUUGAAACUCAAAGGAAUUGACGGGGACCCGCACAAGCGGUGGAGCAUGUGGUUUAAUUCGAAGCAACGCGAAGAACCUUACCAAGUCUUGACAUCCCUUGACAACUCCAGAGAUGGAGCGUUCCCUUCGGGGACAAGGUGACAGGUGGUGCAUGGUUGUCGUCAGCUCGUGUCGUGAGAUGUUGGGUUAAGUCCCGCAACGAGCGCAACCCUUAUUACUAGUUGCCAGCAUUCAGUUGGGCACUCUAGUGAGACUGCCGGUGACAAACCGGAGGAAGGUGGGGAUGACGUCAAAUCAUCAUGCCCCUUAUGACCUGGGCUACACACGUGCUACAAUGGCGUAUACAACGAGUUGCCAACCCGCGAGGGUGAGCUAAUCUCUUAAAGUACGUCUCAGUUCGGAUUGUAGGCUGCAACUCGCCUACAUGAAGUCGGAAUCGCUAGUAAUCGCGGAUCAGCACGCCGCGGUGAAUACGUUCCCGGGUCUUGUACACACCGCCCGUCACACCAUGAGAGUUUGUAACACCCAAAGCCGGUGGGGUAACCUUCGGGAGCCAGCCGUCUAAGGUGGGACAGAUGAUUAGGGUG
RNAcentral lists this ribosomal RNA (1499 nucleotides) under Weissella confusa. Its description in RNAcentral is "bacterial SSU rRNA". It matches the Rfam family "Bacterial small subunit ribosomal RNA". The record is from RNAcentral. Lineage: Bacteria; Bacillati; Bacillota; Bacilli; Lactobacillales; Lactobacillaceae.